RNAcentral lists this ribosomal RNA (253 nucleotides) under uncultured bacterium. Its description in RNAcentral is "partial 16S ribosomal RNA". It matches the Rfam family "Bacterial small subunit ribosomal RNA", at positions 524 to 776 of the family's 1533-position model. The record is from RNAcentral.
UACAUGGGGUGCAAACGUUGCUCGGAAUUAUUGGGCGUAAAGCGCGCGUAGGCGGUUACUCAAGUCGGAUGUGAAAGCCCUCGGCUUAACUGAGGAAGUGCACCCGAAACUGAGUAGCUAGAGUACUAAAGAGGGUCGCGGAAUUCCCGGUGUAGAGGUGAAAUUCGUAGAUAUCGGGAGGAACACCGGUGGCGAAGGCGGGUCUCUGGGCCGAUACUGACGCUGAGGAGCGAAAGCGUGGGGAGCGAACAGG